CCUACGGGGGGCAGCAGUGGGGAAUAUUGCGCAAUGGGCGAAAGCCUGACGCAGCGACGCCGCGUGAGGGAUGAAGGUCUUCGGAUCGUAAACCUCUGUCAGCAGGGAAGAACGGUCACUGUGCUAAUCAGCAGUGAAUUGACGGUACCUGCAAAGGAAGCACCGGCUAACUCCGUGCCAGCAGCCGCGGUAAUACGGAGGGUGCGGGCGUUGAUCGGAUUUACUGGGCGUAAAGCUCUCGUAGGCGGUAUGUCAAGUCAAGGGUGAAAUCCCCGCGCUCAACGUGGGAACGGCCUUUGAAACUGGCAAACUGGAGUGUGUGAGAGGAUAGUGGAAUUCCAGGUGUAGGGGUGAAAUGCGUAGAUAUCUGGAGGAACAUCAGUGGCGAAGGCGACUAUCUGGCACAUAACUGACGCUGAGGAGCGAAAGCGUGGGUAGCAAACAGGAUUAGAUACCCCUGUAGUC
This 465-nucleotide ribosomal RNA is filed under the name uncultured bacterium. Its description in RNAcentral is "partial 16S ribosomal RNA". It matches the Rfam family "Bacterial small subunit ribosomal RNA", at positions 338 to 795 of the family's 1533-position model. The record is from RNAcentral.